This 482-nucleotide ribosomal RNA is filed under the name uncultured bacterium. Its description in RNAcentral is "partial 16S ribosomal RNA". It matches the Rfam family "Bacterial small subunit ribosomal RNA", at positions 30 to 507 of the family's 1533-position model. The record is from RNAcentral.
AUUGAACGCUGGCGGCAUGCUUUACACAUGCAAGUCGAACGGUAACAGCACUUCGGUGGCUGACGAGUGGCGAACGGGUGAGUAAUGCAUCGGAACGUGCCUAGUAGUGGGGGAUAACUACUCGAAAGAGUAGCUAAUACCGCAUGAGAUCUAAGGAUGAAAGCAGGGGACCUUCGGGCCUUGCGCUACUAGAGCGGCUGAUGGCAGAUUAGGUAGUUGGUGGGAUAAAAGCUUACCAAGCCGACGAUCUGUAGCUGGUCUGAGAGGACGACCAGCCACACUGGGACUGAGACACGGCCCAGACUCCUACGGGAGGCAGCAGUGGGGAAUUUUGGACAAUGGGCGCAAGCCUGAUCCAGCAAUGCCGCGUGCAGGAUGAAGGCCUUCGGGUUGUAAACUGCUUUUGUACGGAACGAAAAGCCCUCUUCUAAUACAGGAGGGUCAUGACGGUACCGUAAGAAUAAGCACCGGCUAACUACGUG